This 496-nucleotide ribosomal RNA is filed under the name uncultured bacterium. RNAcentral's name for it is "partial 16S ribosomal RNA". It matches the Rfam family "Bacterial small subunit ribosomal RNA", at positions 29 to 507 of the family's 1533-position model. The record is from RNAcentral.
AUGAACGCUGGCGGCGUGCCUAAUACAUGCAAGUCGAGCGAACGGACGAGAAGCUUGCUUUUCUGAUGUUAGCGGCGGACGGGUGAGUAACACGUGGAUAACCUACCUAUAAGACUGGGAUAACUUCGGGAAACCGGAGCUAAUACCGGAUAAUAUUUUGAACCGCAUGGUUCAAAAGUGAAAGACGGCCUUGCUGUCACUUAUAGAUGGAUCCGCGCUGCAUUAGCUAGUUGGUAAGGUAACGGCUUACCAAGGCAACGAUGCAUAGCCGACCUGAGAGGGUGAUCGGCCACACGGGAACUGAGACACGGUCCAGACUCCUACGGGAGGCAGCAGUAGGGAAUCUUCCGCAAUGGGCGAAAGCCUGACGGAGCAACGCCGCGUGAGUGAUGAAGGUCUUCGGAUCGUAAAACUCUGUUAUUAGGGAAGAACAUAUGUGUAAGUAACUGUGCACAUCUUGACGGUACCUAAUCAGAAAGCCACGGCUAACUACGUG